Molecule: ribosomal RNA, 253 nt
Filed under: uncultured bacterium
Lineage: Bacteria
Description: partial 16S ribosomal RNA
Rfam family: Bacterial small subunit ribosomal RNA
Source: RNAcentral
UACAGGGGGUGCAAACGUUGCUCGGAAUCAUUGGGCGUAAAGCGCACGUAGGCGGUUCGUUAUGUCGGAUGUGAAAGCCCUUGGCUUAACCGAGGAAGUGCAUCCGAAACUGGCGAGCUAGAGUACUAAAGAGGAUCGCGGAAUUCCCGGUGUAGAGGUGAAAUUCGUAGAUAUUCGCAAGAACACCAGUGGCGAAGGCGGCUCACUGGCUCGGUACUGACGCUGAGGUGCGAAAGCGUGGGGAGCAAACAGG